UGUUUCAAAGAUUCACUCAAAUCAAAGAUGGAUUGAUUAUAACUAGACCAAACCAUUUCUUGGAGCCGUAAUUCACGCAGCAGGGACAAAAUAAAGCAUUACUUGAGAGGCCAAGUCGGGAAAUAUUGAAUAACAGGUUCUCAGAAUUAAGCUCCACUUUUGAACCUGGCCGCCCUGCCUGCGUUCUGAAUCAACUUGAAUCUGAAGAACUUAAAAUAUUGAAGACAUAGAAGAAGGAGCUUCAUGUGAGAUGCUUGUUUUAAAGGCGAAAAAAGCAAAAAUGGAACCAGCAGAUCAAGUCCAUACCAAUAAUUUUCCACCCACCUGGAUUUAUGACACGUAUUGACGAAAGUCGCAUGUCUCAUGAUCAUGAGCUGAGGCCACCUACUGCUUGAUUACCGAACCAAUAAGAAAAUUGUUAGCUCAUUGUAGUUUUUAAAUAGAAAUGCUUAGUUGGAUUUUGUGUUUUUCAUCACUCU
This is a long non-coding RNA of Helianthus annuus (common sunflower), 479 nucleotides long. RefSeq lists it as uncharacterized. The record is from RefSeq and is a predicted model, not a curated record. Lineage: Eukaryota; Viridiplantae; Streptophyta; Magnoliopsida; Asterales; Asteraceae. The transcript is spliced from 3 exons.